GCUCCCAGUCCCAACAAUGGCAAGUGAUACCUAAUGUUGAGUGAAUGGGUUUGCCAAUUUGGUGUUUCAAAAUGCGUCCCGCAACGUUUUGGGACGCAAACAUCCUGUGAUCUGAGACUCGCGAUUUGGAAUGCGGAACCUAGGUGAAGGUAAAUGAAUCUGGUAAUUAUGUUCUAGGCGUGUCUAACUUCAUGGAUGUGUGUCAGACACAUUUUGUAUCCUAUCCAGUGUCAUGUCGUGUUGACACUGGUGUUGCAAGAGAGAAUGGCAAGUCCGAGAAUCAGAGGGUUUGUGAAUGCAACGAUGGCCUGAUACCAAGUUUAGAUAUUAUGGGGGUCGCACUUGUUUCA
This 350-nucleotide unclassified non-coding RNA is filed under the name Hevea brasiliensis (rubber tree). The record is from RNAcentral. Lineage: Eukaryota; Viridiplantae; Streptophyta; Magnoliopsida; Malpighiales; Euphorbiaceae.